GUGGGGGGGGGGGACCUGAUCGAUCCCUUUAACUCAUGUUGUGAAUUUGUCUCUCGCUUUGUUGUCAGUGACAUGUGCAUGCUUGUUCUUGUGUGUGUGUGUGAGCGCUUCGUCUUCUAAUGCUCAUGUUCCAUGGAUAAGUGUGUGUGUGUGUGUGUGAGAGAGAGACGUUGUAUCCGAUCCCUGUUUCCAUUCUCUAAUUUGCUUCCUUCUGUUACCUGACUAGCAGGGCAAAGGGGUCGAGGCUGGUCCUGACGUGUCACUAUGAGGACUGACCAGCGUCCGGCGUUGUCACGCUGCAGGCUGUCACUGGUGGAUGGAAUGCUGCCGUGCUGUACAAGAUAAUCACGAAACAGGAGCUGUGACUUUGGGAGUGGAUCACGUUUUUCUUUUUGUGUGGCGUCACCACGGGCGGAUGGAUGGACGUCCUCCUGGAAAAGCACUUUUUUUUUAAUCUUAAAGUCUGACUUUCUGAAGUCGGACUCCAUGUGACGUGAUAAUCUGAUUAUCAGGUCGCUCACGUGAGACGAUCGUUGCAAAGCUGGACACUAGGAUAACGGUUCUCUACAGAUGUGAUCAUGUGACGCUGGCCGUGGGCUUGUUAGCUACCUCAGUUUCAAGGACUCGCUGGAGGCAGAGCUCCGCCCCCUCUGGCCCUGCCACGCACACUCACGCACGCACAAGAAGCAGCAACAACGAAGCACUUAAAGCAAGCGUUUUCACUUCUGAGACAGGAGCUGAUGGACAGAGAAAAAACAGGCAGUCAUCCUAUGUCUUCCACUGUGGGGGGGGGGGCAUAUAGUUAAAGGGGUAGUUCAGGAUUUAGGGUAAAAAAAAAUUCACAAAUUUUAGCCACUUAACAAAAGUCUGUUUAAAAUCUACGAUGUGUUCACGCCACGUCUCCCACACCAAAGCCCAUAGAGAAAAUCUGUGAUUUUAGCUUGCGGUAGACACAGGAGCUGCUGGUCUACUGCUGCCUCGUGUGGUCACUUUGUGCCACUGAGAUAAAUCCGAAUGCAGGAUUUUUAAUGCCGAAUUUUACAAAAUAAGACACAGUGAUGGAGGCAGCAGUGGAUCAACAUCUCCUGUGUGUGUGUGUGUGUGUGUGUGUGUGUGUGUGAUGUUAAAAUCACUGACUUUCUCUAUGGGCUUUGGUGUGGGAGAGAAAACGGUGAGAUAAAGACGUGAACAUGUUUCUUAAGAUGUCGUAGACUGAAACUGACGUAGAUUUUGUCUUCUGUUAAGAGGUUAAAAUGUCUGUUUUUAUAAGCCAUGUUUUCCUGAGUGUGCGCGCUCGUGCUCACUCAGCUGUGUGUAAGAUGCUGUCAGUGACUCAUAAAACCUGAACCAUGCCUUUAAUUUGUCCUUGUUUCGUGUGUCGUGGACGAGUAACGACGUCUAGUUGGGCUGCCAAUUUUUUCACAGACUCUGUGACUUGUUUUGUUUUUAGUUUCCACAUCCUUGUUUUGAUCAUGUGGAUCAGUCCAGUCCAGUUUAGUCCCGUUCACUGUGGCACGAAAUUAAAAUUGUGUUUCCACUGUCAAACAUUCAAAUUGUUACCAAAAUAAGUGAUCUGUACUGCCCCCUGCUGUUCUGGUGGUCCAGAAACAGUCGGUCACAUGACUAGAAGACAGCACACGGACAGUUGUGUGUCCUACUGUCGCCCUGUAUUUAAUUUGUCGCGCUCUUCUUUGCUCAGUUUUGUUCCUCAGAAAUUUCACUGGUGACGUUACGUCAUCUACGUAGCUGCGCAUCUCUUACGUGAAUAGCAUGUUUUAACGUAACUGACUCCGCAGUCAGAUCAGAGGGAAAGGUUGUGAACCGCACCAUGGUGACCUGGACUAGACUGGACUGUGUUGGACUACAAUAAACUGGACUAAACUAAACCAGACUGGACUGGAAUUUGAUUAACUGAACCAGACUACAAUGGACUGAACUUAAUUGAACCAGAAUGGACUGUGGUUGACAUAAGUGCAAAGUGGACGAGACCAGACUGGACUGUGGUGGAUGAAAGUGGACUUGGCUAAAUGAAACCAGACUGGACUGGAUUAGGGUGGACUGGACUGAAGCUCCUGGUAGAAACGAGGCUCAGACGUAGAAAAGGUUUGAUUUUUAACAUUAAACUGAUUGUUGUGUUUUUUUUACAGUGAAUUUGUGUCAAAGUCAUUUCUUUAAAAGGAAAAAAAACAGUUUAAACUUCCUGUUGUUUUAUGCUGUGCUUGAUUCCUUUCACACACACUUUUUACAAACACAAAAAAGUUAAAUAAAAUCAGGAAACUUUUCAACUAAAAAACGUUUUAAUUCAACACACAAACAUUAAAAAAAAAAUGUACUUUUAAAAUGUUAAUUCUUCUAUUCUGAAGUUGAAGUUUAAACAGAAUUUUCCUUCAAAUGUUUGAACUGGGUCACGGCCAAAGGCAUUGUGGGAAACGUAGGCAAUGACGGAAUCAAUCAGGCGAGAGGUGACGCGGUGUUUCAGUGUGUUGCAGUUCCACAUGUCUGUUUGUUUUUUUCCUGUAUUGACUUUAAGUGUUUUUUUAAAGUGACUUUUCUUUGCUACGGUGUUUUCUUGUAAAUGAAUUGUUUUAUACUGUACAGUGAGCCCAGGUCAGACUAUUUUUUAAUAAAUAAAGUUAUUGACUUUGAA
This is a long non-coding RNA of Solea solea (common sole), 2647 nucleotides long. RefSeq lists it as uncharacterized. The record is from RefSeq and is a predicted model, not a curated record. Lineage: Eukaryota; Metazoa; Chordata; Actinopteri; Pleuronectiformes; Soleidae. The transcript is spliced from 2 exons.